RNAcentral lists this ribosomal RNA (403 nucleotides) under uncultured bacterium. RNAcentral describes it as "partial 16S ribosomal RNA". It matches the Rfam family "Bacterial small subunit ribosomal RNA", at positions 28 to 526 of the family's 1533-position model. The record is from RNAcentral.
GACGAACGCUGGCGGCGUGCCUAAUACAUGCAAGUCGAACGCAGUGGGGACGGGUGAGUAACACGUGGGUAACCUCCCAUCAGAGGGGAUAACACUUGGAAACAGGUGCUAAACCGAUACUGAUGGAUGGACCCGCGGUGCAUUAGCUCGUUGGUGAGGUAACGGCUCACCAAGGCCACGAUGCAUAGCCGACCUGCAAGGGUGAUAAGCCACACUGGCACUGAGACACGGCCCAUACUCCUGCGGGAGGCAGCAGUAGGGAAUCUGCGGCAAUGGACGAAAGUCUGACCGAGAAACGCCGCGUGAGUGAAGAAGGUUUUCGGAUCGUAAAACUCUGUUGUUAGAGAAGCGGUAUCUAACCAGAAAGCCACGGCUAACUACGUGCCAGCGGCCGCGGUAAUUC